UCCGCUUGCUGCCACGUCCCCGGCACUGGGGAGGGAGGCGUGAGUCCAGUCUGCCACGGCGCGGAGCUGUCGGGAGUCGACUGACAGAAGGUCACGGGCAACACCGGGAUUGCAGAGCACAGAACUUACACAGGUGUCCCGUUUCAGCAAUGUUCUCCUGCACGCCCGUCACAGAAAGUGCCGAAACACAGACACAACGUAGAAACCCCCACCUGUGUCCCCCAGCGCCACACAGCACAGGUGACAACCACCUGUGUCCCCCAGCGCCACACAGCACAGGUGACAAUCCAACCCCCACCUGAGUCCCCCAGUGCCACACAGCACAGGUGACAAUCCAACCCCCACCUGUGUCCCCCAGUGCCACACAGUACAUUUGACAAUCCAACCCCCACCUGUGUCCCCCAGCGCCACACUGCACAGGUGACAAUCCAGCCCCCACCUGAGUCCCCCAGUGCCACACAGCACAGGUGACAAUGCAACCCCCACCUGUGUCCCCCAGUGCCAUACAGCACAGGUGACAAUCCAACCCCCACCUGUGUCCCCCAGCGCCACACUGCACAGGUGACAAUCCAGCCCCCACCUGAGUCCCCCAGUGCCACACAGCACAGGUGACAAUGCUACCCCCACCUGUGUCCCCCAGUGCCACACAGCACAGGUGACAAUCCAACCCCCACCUGUGUCCCCCAGCGCCACACAGCACAGGUGACAAUCAACCACCCUGUGUCCCCCAGCGCCACACAGCACAGGUGACAACCACCCUGUGUCCCCCAGCGCCACACAGCACAGGUGACAAUCAACCACCCUGUGUCCCCCAGUGCCACACAGCACAGGUGACAAUACAACCACCCUGUGUCCCCCAGUGCCACACAGCACAGGUGACAAUCCAACCCCCACCUGUGUCCCCCAGCGCCACACAGCACAGGUGACAAUCAACCACCCUGUGUCCCCCAUCGCCACACAGCACAGGUGACAACCACCCUGUGUCCCCCAGCGCCACACAGCACAGGUGACAAUCAACCACCCUGUGUCCCCCAGUGCCACACAGCACAGGUGACAAUACAACCACCCUGUGUCCCCCAGCGCCACACAGCACACGUGACAAUCCAACCAGCCCAUCAAAGAAGCAUUGGAAGCUGUAAAAUAUUGUUUA
This 1150-nucleotide long non-coding RNA is filed under the name Oryctolagus cuniculus (rabbit). RNAcentral's name for it is "lncRNA (ENSOCUG00000030985.1)". Lineage: Eukaryota; Metazoa; Chordata; Mammalia; Lagomorpha; Leporidae. The record is from RNAcentral.